This is a non-coding RNA of Paramisgurnus dabryanus, 482 nucleotides long. The record is from RefSeq and is a predicted model, not a curated record. Lineage: Eukaryota; Metazoa; Chordata; Actinopteri; Cypriniformes; Cobitidae.
ACUAUGCACAACAUGUAACAACUGGUGACAUUGUAAAGGUUUAUAAAAUAAUUAUUCACAACAGGUAACAUCUGGUGACAUUGUGAAGGUUUAUAAAAAUAACUAUUCACACAGGUAACAUUGUAAAGGUGUAUAAAAAUAACUAUGCACAACAUGUAACAACUGGUGACAUUGUAAAGGUUUAUAAAAAUAACUAUUCACAACAGGUAACAUCUGGUGACAUUGUAAAGGUUUAUAAAAAUAACCAUUCACAACAGGUAACAUCUGGUGACAUUGUGAAGGUUUAUAAAAAUAACUAUUCACACAGGUAACAUUGUAAAGGUGUAUAAAAAUAACUAUGCACAACAUGUAACAACUGGUGACAUUGUAAAGGUUUAUAAAAAUAACCAUUCACAACAUGUAACAUCUGGUGACAUUGAAAAGGUUUAUAAAAAUAAAUAUCCACAACAUGUAACAACUAGUGAGAUUGUAAAGGUUUAUAA